RNAcentral lists this long non-coding RNA (2043 nucleotides) under Rattus norvegicus (Norway rat). RNAcentral's name for it is "long non-coding RNA NONRATT018481". The record is from RNAcentral. Lineage: Eukaryota; Metazoa; Chordata; Mammalia; Rodentia; Muridae.
CCCAUUGAGGAUAACGAAAAGAGCAAAGAUGUGAAUGGACCGGAACCCCUCAACAGCCGGAGCAACAAACUGCACUGUACUGCGAAUGAUGGUCGGAGUGAAUAUCUCAGAUGAGCAGCUGGGCAGUAUUGCAGACAGGACCAUCCAGGAGGCUGACCAAGAUGGAGACAGUGCCAUAUCUUUUACAGAAUUUGUUAAGGUUUUGGAGAAGGUGGAUGUAGAACAGAAGAUGAGCAUCCGAUUUCUUCACUAAAGGGCAGAGACCAAAUUAUUCUUGCUUUCUAGUAUUUAAGAACUGAAACUUCCUUCUGUCCUCCAGCCCCACCCCAUCCUGUCAUCCCCCUUUCCCAGAAUACUACAGCUCCUGCAUGACAACCUGAAGUCUCUCCUGUCCAUACAAACUUGCCUUUGGUGUAUAAACAGGGCGUUACAGAAUGGUACCCUGUCUAUUUCUGUUCGGUAUCCACCCAUCAGUCUUUAUUGUAAGUACCAACUUCCCCUGUUCUACUGCUCAGUGCCACGCAUCCGUCCUGUCUGAGGAAAGAAACAGGGACUCAUGUCAAGAACCAGCCAGCAAAGCUCCCACUAGAUGGGACCAUAUCCAUGCUGCCUUCCCUUCAUCAGCCCUCCAUCAUGGUCCUGUGUGCUGUGUCCUGUGUCCUGUGUCUGUUUCUUCCUACCUCUCUGUCAUCCAGCCUUCUCUCCAUUCAGUCUUUCAGCUGUCCUCCUGUCGUUGAGAUUCCCUGCAUUCUACUUGACUCUGGGCUCUGCUGGUAAGCCUGUUUCUGAUGUGGCAGGAUAGUUAGUGGUCUGGUGAUCUGUAUCUACCUUCUGAUGUGGGAUAUUGCCUAUCCAGGAGCUAUUGCUCUGUCGUCACAGGGCUUAUGAGCAGACAUGUUCUUAAAAGGUAGUCAUGGUGAGGCUUGUAGAGCCAUGUCUCCUAGGUGGCUUCCCAGGUCUCUCUACCUCUGACUUUUUAUUUUCAAAUAUAUUUAUGUGGCUUUUCUGGGUACAGUGUUGACAUUCAGAAAAUAGUCUAAUGCCUGCCAGUUUGCUUCUCUUUGGGACAUUGUCACCACCCAAGCGGCUGUUCUGACAAUAUGGUAGAGGGCCUUCUUGUGUUUUCUGACAAGGAUGGGCACCCUGGAGAGCUGCCCACAUUUGCUCCACAGCAUGGGUUAUGCCUCAGUGUUCUGUACACUUGAAGAUUCUUCACAUUUCCAAACAGAAAGACUAGUGUUACAGAAGUGCCUGACUUACCUCAGUCCUAAAGAAUUAGAUUGUCCUCAGUGUCUUAAAGUUUUGCACAAAACUCUGAAUGAAUUUUAUACUUGGCAAAUUUUAAUGCUGGAAGAUGUAUAGUCAGUUCAUAAUCCUGGUCCAGGCACUGUAUGCAUCGAAUGUAUUGUCUCAUGAGCUUCCUAAUGACACGACCUUCCUAGCUCCUUGUGAAUACUAUACUAUGCAGAUCCCUCAGAAGCAUGGGACCUGGGACUGGUGGCACCAACUGAGGUGACAUUCUCUGCCAAUGUCAGCUUGAUUUAGAUGUCACUGAAUCAAGCUGCUUCCGCCCUGUGUUCCUGUGAAUCUGCUCUUGGCUGGCUUUCUCUGGUGUUGCCUGCUUGCUUGCUUGCUUUGUUGCUUUGGAAGGCUAUCCAAGAUAUGUAAGCAAUUCUUUAGGAAAUAAAUUGCUGUUAACCCAAACAAACAAAAACACUGCAGACGAGAUGGGUAAAGGCGAGCAGUGGGGGCGUGGCUAGGACAGAUGGCUAGGGUCUACAUGAACUGGGGAAUUCUUUAUGAAAUAUGUCAGACUUUGUGAUCAAAUGAUGUGAUAUAAGAAUUGUAUAAAGGGAAUAAUUGUCUGAUACUUAUCUGUUUGAGAAGUACUUCAGAAGCAUCUUGAUUUAAUUAUUUAAAGUUUCUAAGAUUAUGCCCCCCUUGGCUGUAUAGCAAACUGUUUUUAUCCACAGUUGUGCCUUAUUGUCCCAUUAAAAUUGUAUUCCUCAAUCCACCAAUAAAUUAAUUGUCAUUAAAACAAAA